AUUGAACGCUGGCGGCAGGCUUAACACAUGCAAGUCGAGCGGAGUGAUGGUGCUUGCACUAUCACUUAGCGGCGGACGGGUGAGUAAUGCUUAGGAAUCUGCCUAUUAGUGGGGGACAACGUCUCGAAAGGGAUGCUAAUACCGCAUACGUCCUACGGGAGAAAGCAGGGGAUCACUUGUGACCUUGCGCUAAUAGAUGAGCCUAAGUCGGAUUAGCUAGUUGGUGGGGUAAAGGCCUACCAAGGCGACGAUCUGUAGCGGGCCUGAGAGGAUGCUCCGCCACACUGGGACUGAGACACGGCCCAGACUCCUACGGGAGGCAGCAGUGGAGAAUAUUGGACAAUGGGGGGAACCCUGAUCCAGCCAUGCCGCGUGUGUGAAGAAGGCCUUAUGGUUAUAAAGCACUUUAAGCGAGGAGGAGGCUUACCUAGUUAAUACCUGGGAUAAGUGGACGUUACUCGCAGAAUAAGCACCGGCUAACUCUGUGCCAGCCGCCGCUGUAA
RNAcentral lists this ribosomal RNA (503 nucleotides) under uncultured bacterium. Its description in RNAcentral is "partial 16S ribosomal RNA". It matches the Rfam family "Bacterial small subunit ribosomal RNA", at positions 30 to 523 of the family's 1533-position model. The record is from RNAcentral.